Molecule: long non-coding RNA, 640 nt
Organism: Myotis myotis
Lineage: Eukaryota; Metazoa; Chordata; Mammalia; Chiroptera; Vespertilionidae
Exons: 3
Source: RefSeq, a predicted model, not a curated record
GAGGAACGCUGGCCCCCUGCAUCCGGACAGACCAGCCUAACUGCCAGAUCCCCAAGGACAGCACCACUGGAAUCCCACUUAAGCCUGGUACCCGCAGCACCAGGAAUUGUAGCCAGGGAAGCCAUCCUACCCAGGAGAACACCGAAUGUUCCAGUCCGAAAAUCCCGUAUCACAAAGGAGCUGACCACCUGCCCCUGUGCCCCUGAUAAGGGAGGAAGCAAGGGCCACUGCGAAUGCAGCAGGGGCAGCAGGAUGCCCACUGCCCAGGGCUGUGGCCUGCAGCACCUGGUUGCAAGGCUCUUCAGGCUGAGGGCCGGGAAGGAGCAGGUACCUCUCCAUCUCCUGCAGCUCCUGCUCCUCUGGUUCCCAGUCGGAAUCAUGUACAGUGCGAUUGAAACUUCAUGGCCCAUGCGCAGAAGUCGGUUUUCGGCCUGGCUUUUAAGGUGAAAAGAUCCUCUUUAUUGAAAACAAUUCGCAGAGUAAACACAGGCAAGUCAAGCGUCUCCUUGUUAAUUUCCCACCCACCACUGAUGCCAUGAAAGAUGCCAGGGCUUUUCUAGUCCCACUCUCACUCAUCCACCAGAGAGCUCAGAAAGGCAGCAGUGAAGUUGGAAAUUAUCCCACUCACAAUUCAGGUGGA